AUCCAACGUCAAUGAGUAACAAACCGUCGGCCACUCCCCAGCGGUAGACGGUAAUAUCUUCGAAAAAUUACAUACGGUCGCGACUGAGGAUGAAGGAUAACCGUUGCCACAUAUGGUGGUUGGAUUUGGAAUAAAGACGAUAUAUAGUUAGAGCCGGAAUAUCUCGAAAGAACUGUCUUGUUUUGUUUGUAGCCCUUGAUCUAUGUGCGAUGAGGCGGCGGUAAUUACAAGUGACCGGCAAGUGGGACGAAAAAAAAUUAUAAAAUAAUCCAUCUUCAGUUGGUGUCUGGUCAUUCUGCUUAGCCUAUAGUUAUGGUUAAUCAAUACUGAGCAGAAGGGAUUGGUACUAUCCGGAUGUGUACGUUAUGCUCACCGAGCUUCUGAGGUUUUAGCUGCAUCGAAUACGAAAGAGCAUAUUUUGGCAUA
Long non-coding RNA from Topomyia yanbarensis, 426 nucleotides. RefSeq lists it as uncharacterized. The transcript is spliced from 3 exons. The record is from RefSeq and is a predicted model, not a curated record. Lineage: Eukaryota; Metazoa; Arthropoda; Insecta; Diptera; Culicidae.